AUAAUAAUAAUAAUAAUAAAGGGAGUCGAAUUCGAAAAGAAUUAUGAAAAAAGAAUCGAAAUAACAUCAGUUAGACACUUACACGCUUGUACCUGUAAUUAUGGGAACUGGGAAGGGAGCAGUACCUUGGAAACGAUGUCGUAUGCGGUGGAGCAGAGGCUGGUCGAGUUUGCGGAAUCCAUGGCUUACACCGAAACUCGAGGCUUCAAAGAUUUCUGAUUCUCGUCCGGUUUGUCGAGCAUGUCCAAAGAGCUAUUAGAAAUGACGUUUACUUACC
This 277-nucleotide long non-coding RNA is filed under the name Olea europaea (common olive). RNAcentral describes it as "long non-coding RNA (OEUR_LNC010009)". The record is from RNAcentral. Lineage: Eukaryota; Viridiplantae; Streptophyta; Magnoliopsida; Lamiales; Oleaceae.